Molecule: ribosomal RNA, 253 nt
Filed under: uncultured bacterium
Lineage: Bacteria
Description: partial 16S ribosomal RNA
Rfam family: Bacterial small subunit ribosomal RNA
Source: RNAcentral
UACAGAGGGGGCAAGCGUUGUUCGGAAUUACUGGGCGUAAAGGGCGCGUAGGCGGCCUGUUAAGUCGAACGUGAAAUCCCCGGGCUCAACCCGGGAACUGCGUCCGAUACUGGCAGGCUUGAAUCCGGGAGAGGGAUGCGGAAUUCCAGGUGUAGCGGUGAAAUGCGUAGAUAUCUGGAGGAACACCGGUGGCGAAGGCGGCAUCCUGAACCGGCAUUGACGCUGAGGCGCGAAAGCCAGGGGAGCAAACGGG